UACGAAGGGGGCUAGCGUUGUUCGGAAUUACUGGGCGUAAAGCGCACGUAGGCGGACUGUUAAGUCAGGGGUGAAAUCCCGGGGCUCAACCCCGGAACUGCCUUUGAUACUGGCAUUCUCGAGUCCGGAAGAGGUGAGUGGAAUUCCGAGUGUAGAGGUGAAAUUCGUAGAUAUUCGCAAGAACACCAGUGGCGAAGGCGGCUCACUGGCCCGGUACUGACGCUGAGGUGCGAAAGCGUGGGGAGCAAACAGG
Molecule: ribosomal RNA, 253 nt
Filed under: uncultured bacterium
Lineage: Bacteria
Description: partial 16S ribosomal RNA
Rfam family: Bacterial small subunit ribosomal RNA
Source: RNAcentral